UGGGGAAUCUUGCGCAAUGGGCGAAAGCCUGACGCAGCAACGCCGCGUGUGUGAUGAAGGUCUUCGGAUCGUAAAGCACUGUCGGGAGGGACGAAUAAGGUCCGGGUGAACAAUCCGGUCCGAUGACGGUACCUCCAAAGGAAGCACCGGCUAACUCUGUGCCAGCAGCCGCGGUAAUACAGAGGGUGCAAGCGUUGUUCGGAAUUAUUGGGCGUAAAGCGCGUGUAGGCGGUCUCGCAAGUCGGAUGUGAAAGCCCUCGGCUUAACCGAGGAAGUGCGUUCGAAACUACGAGACUUGAGUACCGGAGAGGGUGGCGGAAUUCCCGGUGUAGAGGUGAAAUUCGUAGAUAUCGGGAGGAACACCAGUGGCGAAGGCGGCCACCUGGACGGCUACUGACGCUGAGACGCGAAAGCGUGGGGAGCAAACAGG
This 430-nucleotide ribosomal RNA is filed under the name uncultured Anaeromyxobacter sp. RNAcentral's name for it is "bacterial SSU rRNA". It matches the Rfam family "Bacterial small subunit ribosomal RNA", at positions 355 to 776 of the family's 1533-position model. The record is from RNAcentral. Lineage: Bacteria; Pseudomonadati; Myxococcota; Myxococcia; Myxococcales; Anaeromyxobacteraceae.